UACGUAGGGCGCAAGCGUUGUCCGGAAUUAUUGGGCGUAAAGAGCUCGUAGGCGGUCUGUCGCGUCUGCUGUGAAAUCCCGAGGCUCAACCUCGGGCUUGCAGUGGGUACGGGCAGACUAGAGUGCGGUAGGGGAGAAUGGAAUUCCUGGUGUAGCCGGUGGAAUGCGCCAGAUAUCAGGAGGAACACCGAUGGCGAAGGCAGUUCUCUGGCCUGAAUNCGACGUUGAGGAGCGAAA
This 237-nucleotide ribosomal RNA is filed under the name uncultured Actinomycetales bacterium. RNAcentral describes it as "partial 16S ribosomal RNA". It matches the Rfam family "Bacterial small subunit ribosomal RNA", at positions 524 to 758 of the family's 1533-position model. The record is from RNAcentral. Lineage: Bacteria; Bacillati; Actinomycetota; Actinomycetes; Actinomycetales.